CACGUGAGCAACCUGCCUUUAAGAGGGGGAUAACGUUUGGAAACGAACGCUAAUACCGCAUAACAUAGAAGAUUCGCAUGUUUCUUCUAUCAAAGAUUUAUCGCUUAAAGAUGGGCUCGCGUCUGAUUAGCUGGUUGGUGAGGUAACGGCUCACCAAGGCGACGAUCAGUAGCCGUACUGAGAGGUAGAACGGCCACAUUGGGACUGAGACACGGCCCAGACUCCUACGGGAGGCAGCAGUGGGGAAUAUUGCACAAUGGAGGGAACUCUGAUGCAGCGAUGCCGCGUGAGGGAAGAAGGUUUUAGGAUUGUAAACCUCUGUCUUCAGGGACGAUAAUGACGGUACCUGAGGAGGAAGCUCCGGCUAACUACGUGCCAGCAGCCGCGGUAAUACGUAGGGAGCGAGCGUUGUCCGGAAUUACUGGGUGUAAAGGGAGCGUAGGCGGGAUCUUAAGUCAGGUGUGAAAACUAUGGGCUCAACCCAUAGACUGCACUUGAAACUGAGGUUCUUGAGUGAAGUAGAGGCAGGCGGAAUUCCUAGUGUAGCGGUGAAAUGCGUAGAUAUUAGGAGGAACAUCAGUGGCGAAGGCGGCCUGCUGGGCUUUUACUGACGCUGAGGCUCGAAAGCGUGGGGAGCAA
Molecule: ribosomal RNA, 639 nt
Filed under: uncultured bacterium
Lineage: Bacteria
Description: bacterial SSU rRNA
Rfam family: Bacterial small subunit ribosomal RNA
Source: RNAcentral